GCCAAGGACCAAUAAGGACCUGCUUCAGAGACCUCAAUUCCAGUCUCUCCUCUCCUAAGUUUCUAUCCCUCAGCUUCAUUAGGGUCCCUACUACUGAAACCCUCUCUUCCAAACACAUGCUCUUCUUAUUUUGGAACUUGCCUCUCCUGGGCCACGUCUGAGAAGGAUGUAAUUACAUUUGAGAAUUGUGGGAGCUAGCACAUAUACAACUAUGGCGAAAUACAGCCAUUUGCAAUGUUACCAGGAAUUCACUUAUCCUGAACGAGCACCUUAUGGUUUAAGGUCAUCUCAGUCAGAGACUAUGAACUGUGCUGUAGAAGGAUAAAUAUCCUAUUGUUCCUGCAUACUGUGUGUUACUCCACAAAGAGAACCUGUCCCCUCGUUCCUCUUACCAAACAGGACUCUCUGGCUGUGCGUUUGUGCGCACACGUGCACAGGAGACCUUAAUGCCAACCAGCUGCUGCAGCUGAUACAAGAACUUGCCAUAGAUCACUGGGAUUGCAUUCCACAAGUUUCUUCAGGACAAUCAAGCUAUGAAAUAAAAUUGUAAUUGCAAUACCAUUGUGUGGCCCUGGUCACAAAUUUAAUCCAGUAAACUACAGUUAGAAGGCUA
This is a long non-coding RNA of Parus major (Great Tit), 613 nucleotides long. RefSeq lists it as uncharacterized. The record is from RefSeq and is a predicted model, not a curated record. The transcript has 2 exons. NCBI's taxonomy places the organism in Eukaryota, Metazoa, Chordata, Aves, Passeriformes, Paridae.